Molecule: ribosomal RNA, 494 nt
Filed under: uncultured bacterium
Lineage: Bacteria
Description: partial 16S ribosomal RNA
Rfam family: Bacterial small subunit ribosomal RNA
Source: RNAcentral
GACGAACGCUGGCGGCGUGCUUAACACAUGCAAGUCGAACGGUGAAGCGCCUUCCUUUUUGGUGGGUGUGGAUGAGUGGCGAACGGGUGAGUAACACGUGAGUAACCUGCCCCCUUCUUCUGGAUAACCGCAUGAAAGUGUGGCUAAUACGGGAUAUUCUGGGUCUGUCGCAUGAUGGGUCUGGGAAAGAUAUUGUUUCGGUGGGGGAUGGGCUCGCGGACUAUCAGCUUGUUGGUGGGGUGAUGGCCUACCAAGGCGGUGACGGGUAGCCGGCCUGAGAGGGUGGACGGUCACACUGGGACUGAGACACGGCCCAGACUCCUACGGGAGGCAGCAGUGGGGAAUAUUGCACAAUGGGCGCAAGCAUGAUGCAGCGACGCCGCGUGAGGGAUGGAGGCCUUCGGGUUGUGAACCUCUUUCGCCAGUGAAGCAGGCCUGCCUCGUUUGUGGGUGGGUUGACGGUAGCUGGAUAAGAAGCGCCGGCUAACUACGUG